CGGAUUGCAGGCUGCAACCCGCCUGCAUGAAGUUGGAAUCGCUAGUAAUCGCGGAUCAGCAUGCCGCGGUGAAUACGUUCCCGGGCCUUGUACACACCGCCCGUCACACCAUGAGAGUCGGGAACACCCGAAGUCCGUAGCCUGACCGCAAGGGGGCGCGGCCGAAGGUGGGUUCGAUAAUUGGGGUGAAGUCGUAACAAGGUACC
This 206-nucleotide ribosomal RNA is filed under the name uncultured bacterium. RNAcentral's name for it is "partial 16S ribosomal RNA". It matches the Rfam family "Bacterial small subunit ribosomal RNA", at positions 1294 to 1500 of the family's 1533-position model. The record is from RNAcentral.